This is a long non-coding RNA of Equus caballus (horse), 990 nucleotides long. RefSeq lists it as uncharacterized. Lineage: Eukaryota; Metazoa; Chordata; Mammalia; Perissodactyla; Equidae. The record is from RefSeq and is a predicted model, not a curated record.
UCUCCCCUCCUCCCGUGUGCCAGUACCCAAGCCCUGUGUUUGAGAUAAGUCUGAAGACAGGUCAUCCUGUGUGAUGUCACAAUGUGUUAAUCUAACUAGUAAUUUUUUUAGUGCCAAACUUCGGAAUUCUACCCUGCGUUCUCUUCCUCUUUCUCCUUUUUGGUUCUUAACUGAUGAAAUAACUCUAUUGAGUGACUUAUCAUCAGUCCGGAAUAAACUAUCUUUGCCAUCAAAUAGGCCACAAAGGCAGGAAAGAUGACUCUAUGAGGCGUCCUGCGGGGACUGAAAUGCCAUCUCUUUCAGAUUCCUGGACCCCGCCCUGGACCUAUUGAAACAGAAUCUCUAAAGUUGGGCCCCGGAAUCUUCAUUUUAACAAGCUCACCAGCUUUGCUCGGAACAUUUGGAGGGCUGGCCCGGCACUCCCUGCAGAGCCUGAGAGCGGGUGGCGAGCCAAGAUACCAGCGGCACAUUGUUUCACCUGCGCUGCCAGAUACUCAGAAAAAACACACAACGGUUUGUCAAAACAGCCAUGGACGCUGCGCGCUCGUUUUCCCUGCAGCCCAGUCCUCGCUGCCAAGGUACACGGCCAGGUUUCUCUGAGCGCCGAGAGAUGCUCCGCUAAAUUCCUGGCGCGGCGGGGGGGAUGUGACAUAUGAAGGGAACCGGAGUGCUCCCUGGGGAGCCCGGCUCUACCUGGAAAAGGCUGUGCCAGACCCAUUAAAUCAGGUUCCCACAGCCCUCAGCCUUAGUCAGCACCUGGCCGUGAAAUGACUCAGUCGCAAGGAAACCAGAACCAAGGAGGGGCUCCUAGCUUCAUGGGAGAGCUCGGCUUCCUAAUGCUUCCCCGGCCCCCGAGCUGCGCCGGAAUCACAUGAUUAAAAAGAAAAGCGCAGCCUGCACAACAACCUGAGACAGAACGGGGCUGCCUCUGUCUUCCCUUUGUUAUCUGCAGAGUGAGCUCCAGGAGUGCCUUUGUUGGGUUUCCGAUGC